RNAcentral lists this ribosomal RNA (452 nucleotides) under Halomonas sp. N93(2010). RNAcentral describes it as "bacterial SSU rRNA". It matches the Rfam family "Bacterial small subunit ribosomal RNA", at positions 549 to 1000 of the family's 1533-position model. The record is from RNAcentral. Lineage: Bacteria; Pseudomonadati; Pseudomonadota; Gammaproteobacteria; Oceanospirillales; Halomonadaceae.
AAUUACUGGGCGUAAAGCGCGCGUAGGUGGCUUGAUAAGCCGGUUGUGAAAGCCCCGGGCUCAACCUGGGAACGGCAUCCGGAACUGUCAAGCUAGAGUGCAGGAGAGGAAGGUAGAAUUCCCGGUGUAGCGGUGAAAUGCGUAGAGAUCGGGAGGAAUACCAGUGGCGAAGGCGGCCUUCUGGACUGACACUGACACUGAGGUGCGAAAGCGUGGGUAGCAAACAGGAUUAGAUACCCUGGUAGUCCACGCCGUAAACGAUGUCGACCAGCCGUUGGGUGCCUAGCGCACUUUGUGGCGAAGUUAACGCGAUAAGUCGACCGCCUGGGGAGUACGGCCGCAAGGUUAAAACUCAAAUGAAUUGACGGGGGCCCGCACAAGCGGUGGAGCAUGUGGUUUAAUUCGAUGCAACGCGAAGAACCUUACCUACUCUUGACAUCCUGCGAAUUUGG